GAUGAACGCUGGCGGCGUGCCUAAUACAUGCAAGUCGAGCGAACAGACGAGGAGCUUGCUCCUCUGACGUUAGCGGCGGACGGGUGAGUAACACGUGGCUAACCUACCUAUAAGACUGGGAUAACUUCGGGAAACCGGAGCUAAUACCGGAUAAUAUUUUGAACCGCAUGGUUCUAUAGUGAAAGACGGUUUUGCUUUCACUUAUAGAUGGAUCCGCGCCGGAUUAGCUAGUUGGUAAGGUAACGGCUUACCAAGGCAACGAUGCGUAGCCGACCUGAGAGGGUGAUCGGCAACACUGGAACUGAGACACGGUCCAGACUCCUACGGGAGGCAGCAGUAGGGAAUCUUCCGCAAUGGGCGAAAGCAUGACGGAGCAACGCCGCGUGAGUGAUGAAGGUCUUCGGAGCGUAAAACUCUGUUAUUAGGGAAGAACAAAUGUGUAAGUAACUAUGCACGUCUUGACGGUAACUAAUCAGAAAGCCACGGCUAACUACGUG
Molecule: ribosomal RNA, 497 nt
Filed under: uncultured bacterium
Lineage: Bacteria
Description: partial 16S ribosomal RNA
Rfam family: Bacterial small subunit ribosomal RNA
Source: RNAcentral